AGUAGUUUUCAAAAACCCAGUAACCAGUCACCCAUGGGCCCAGAGCACAGGAGGUGGGUAUCCAGCUCAGAGAGAGUAGAUACACCCUUCCUGGGCCCUCUUGUUCUUUCUAGGCUUUUGGUGUUGCCCAGUGCACUGAGUGAAGAGGUUGGAGUGCACUGAGUGUUGGAGGCCUCUUGAAUUUCCCAAUGUCCCAUGGUCAUUGUAACAGGUAAAAGGCUGGGUCUUCCCUUGGAUCUGUGACUCUUGGAACUUGGCCCAUUGUAUUGAAAGAAUAGCCACUUAAUAUCCAGAUAAUGAGGGCAGAUGCAGGUUGCGCCUCUUGGAGGACCCAUCCCCAGUUCAGCAGUACUUGGAAGUCAGUACCUGAGUCGUGUGGCUUAGGAAUGUCACUGUCUGUCAAGGCCUGUAUGGUGAGCCAGAAGUAUCCAGAGUGGGCCAGGUGAAGGUUAACAAGCUGACAAUUGCUUCAGGAAGCUCUGGGAAAACUUGGUUAUCCUGAUGGGGGUCCCAACAGCAGGAUCAGUUGUCUGCGUUUGACUUUACUCUGCAGUCUGGUCCUAGAAUGUGUGAGCUCUGUUUGUUUCCAAAGGUAGCUGUGGCCUGGCAGCUUUAAGCUUACCUGGACUCUAAAGCCUCACAUUUUAUACCUGGCAUGCACUAUUAGAAUACACUGAAUUUUAGUGUGUACUUUGUCAGUGUCUUCUGCCUACUCAGUUCUUAACACACUUCCUUGGGUCUAAAUUUAAAUUUACUGCUAAAAUGAAAGUAAUUCUCAAGAUACUGUUGUUAGGUGUGUGACUUCUAGCACAUGUUUUUUUCAGAACAGUGAUAUUUAUAGAAUACUGUGAUGUAUUCCAGUGAUAGCAAAAUGCAACAAAGCUUCUUAUAACAAACUCCCAUUAUAGCCACUUCUGAUGGGUAUAAGUCAGUGACAUUUAUGUGUCCAGUGUUGUGAAGUGAUCACUGAUACAAAGUUGCAGGAUGUUCGAUCCAGACAGAAACUUCAGCCCACCAGUUGAAACUGACUAGCUUCUCCUGAGCCCCCUGGCAACCAGGAACCCGUUUUCUCUCUAUAGUUUGCUCAUUUGGAUAUUUCACAAAAAUGGACUCAUGCACUGGGUGGCCUUUGGUGUGUUGGCUUCUUCCACUCAAGGUUUCUACAAAACUUGGCUGUGUGAUGUAAUCUCAUUACUUUUAUGAGUAAGAAAUACUCCAUUCUGAGUGUAAGCUACGUAUUUCUCACUGUGAUGGUUAACUUGCUAAACUCGAUGGGCUUAGAAACGCCAUGAGAACACACCCCUGCGUAUGUCAGUGCAGGUGUUUCCAGGGAAUUCAGUGAGAGACCCACCAAGGAUGUGGGCGGCACCAUCCUAUGUGCUGGUAUCCUAGAAUGAAGAAAAAAGGAGGGCAAGAGCUGAGCACCAGCCAUCUCUCAACUUCCUGACUGCAGAUGCAAUGUGACCAGCUGCCUUAAGUUCCUGCAACCAUGACUUCCCACCACAAGGACUGUACCCUUAUACUGUGAGCCAAAUAAACCUUCCCUCAGUU
This 1551-nucleotide long non-coding RNA is filed under the name Mus musculus (house mouse). RNAcentral's name for it is "long non-coding RNA chr17:26283953-26285504". Lineage: Eukaryota; Metazoa; Chordata; Mammalia; Rodentia; Muridae. The record is from RNAcentral.